This 500-nucleotide ribosomal RNA is filed under the name uncultured bacterium. RNAcentral's name for it is "partial 16S ribosomal RNA". It matches the Rfam family "Bacterial small subunit ribosomal RNA", at positions 30 to 523 of the family's 1533-position model. The record is from RNAcentral.
AUUGAACGCUGGCGGCAGGCCUAACACAUGCAAGUCGAGCGGAUGAGAGGAGCUUGCUCCUUGAUUUAGCGGCGGACGGGUGAGGAAUGCCUAUGAAUCUGCCUGGUAGUGGGGGAUAACGUCCGGAAACGGGCGCUAAUACCGCGUACGUCCUACGGGAGAAAGCAGGGGACCUUCGGGCCUUGCGCUAUCAGAUGAGCCUCGGUCGGAUUAGCUAGGUGGUGAGGUAAUGGCUCACCAAGGCGACGAUCCGUAACUGGUCUGAGAGGAUUAUCAGUCACACUGGAACUGAGACACGGUCCAGACUCCUACGGGAGGCAGCAGUGGGGAAUAUUGGACAAUGGGCGAAAGCCUGAUCCAGCCAUGCGGCGUGUGUGAAGAAGGUCUUCGGAUUGUAAGGCACUUUAAGUUGGGAGGAAGGGCAGUAAGUUAAUACCUUGCUGUUUUGACGUUACCGACAGAAUAAGCACCGGCUAACUUCGUGCCAGCCGCCGCCGUAA